RNAcentral lists this ribosomal RNA (586 nucleotides) under uncultured bacterium. RNAcentral's name for it is "bacterial SSU rRNA". It matches the Rfam family "Bacterial small subunit ribosomal RNA", at positions 338 to 916 of the family's 1533-position model. The record is from RNAcentral.
CCUACGGGAGGCAGCAGUGGGGAAUAUUGGACAAUGGGCGCAAGCCUGAUCCAGCCAUACCGCGUGUGUGAAGAAGGCCUUUUGGUUGUAAAGCACUUUAAGCGAGGAGGAGGCUCUUGAGGAUAAUACCCUUGAUGAGUGGACGUUACUCGCAGAAUAAGCACCGGCUAACUCUGUGCCAGCAGCCGCGGUAAUACAGAGGGUGCGAGCGUUAAUCGGAAUUACUGGGCGUAAAGCGCGCGUAGGCGGCUUGUUAAGUCGGAUGUGAAAUCCCCGGGCUCAACCUGGGCACUGCAUUCGAUACUGGCAAGCUAGGGUAUGGGAGAGGAAGGUAGAAUUCCAGGUGUAGCGGUGAAAUGCGUAGAGAUCUGGAGGAAUACCGAUGGCGAAGGCAGCCUUCUGGCCUAAUACUGACGCUGAGGUGCGAAAGCAUGGGGAGCAAACAGGAUUAGAUACCCUGGUAGUCCAUGCCGUAAACGAUGUCAACUAGCCGUUGGGGACCUUGAGUCUUAGUGCGCAGCUAACGCGAUAAGUUGACCGCCUGGGGAGUACGGUCGCGAAGACUAAAACUCAAAUGAAUUGACGG